Molecule: long non-coding RNA, 3758 nt
Filed under: Zea mays
Lineage: Eukaryota; Viridiplantae; Streptophyta; Magnoliopsida; Poales; Poaceae
Description: long non-coding RNA (ZMAY_LNC002282)
Source: RNAcentral
AGAUAGAGGUUAUCUCCAUCCUCCGCAAGUCCACAACUUUGCAACUUCCUCUUCCUCCGUAGCCCCACGCUUUGCGCCUCCAUCUCCAUCAUUCGGUGGCCGGUGCUGCAGUGUGUCACGCCCUCUCCCCAUGGCCAUGCCGGAUCUGCACCCCGAUGUGAGGAUCGGCCAACACCGAUGAGCAAUCACGUAAGCCCCAGGUCAGAAUGAGUUUGUUGGGAACCUGUGUUUAGGGGUGAAAACGGUCGGAAACGAUCGGUAAACACUAAAACCAUUUCCGUUUUCAUAUUUUUCCUCGGAAACGAGAUCGAAAACGGUAACUCCGGAAACGAAAAUGACAUCGGUAAUUCGAAAACAUCGGUAACGAAAGUUCGGUACGAAAAUUACACCGGUUACAAUCGAAAUCUAAAAUUCGAUCGGUAAAAACUUUAACAUGUACCCUCAAUUGACUUCAAAAAAUCACGCAAAUCAUACAUUCAUAUAAAAUUAGUAAUAAUAUAUAAGGUACGAGGUCACAAUAAAUAUAUAAGGUAAGAAAUAUACAAUAAUAAAAUCAUUAUUAUGCAUUUAAAUAAAGUAGAAUCAAGAUAUGUAUAAUGAUAUGACACUGACAUUCUAUUUAUAUCCCUACUACUUGGCAUAGUCAAUAUAAUUAGUGUCCUCUUAAUACUUCUUAAGUUAUCGUGCAAAUUAUGAAUAUAUGUAUCAAAAGUAAUAAUAGAUAAGAAAACAUAAAUAAGAUUUAUAAAAGUUUGAAACGAUUCUAAACUAUAUAUCAUUAGAUAGAUCUUGAUUUUAGAAAAAUAAUAAAAUUAGUUUCACAUUUUUCUAAGCUAAGAUGAAUUUAUAAAGGUUAGUUCAGAUUUAAUAUUUUUCUGAAAAAAUACCGAAUUUAUUACCGACGGUAAAAUACCGGAUAAAAACGGUAAUUUCCGGAAACGGUCGGAAAAGGUCUAAACCGUUUCCGUUUCCGAUUCCGUUUUUUUUCUACCGAUUUCGUUUCCGUAUUUUCGGUAACCGUUUCCGUUUCCGUUUAGACCUAAAUUUCGGUAAAACUUCGAAAACGAUUCCCGGUAUCCGAAAAUUACCGUUUCCGUUUUCAUCCCUACCUGUGUUUUCUAUUAUUGAUUAGUUGUCUUUACUGAGUAUAGAGUUAGCCUUUUAUAGGCAUUACCUUAGUCCUAAUCAUUCGGCAAAAUAACCCCCAAAUCACCACACCGAAGACUCCUUAAGCAACCCUUCCCCAGAUCUACUAUGUUGCCUAGCUGCAACUCAAUCAGCCAUGACACAGUGCUAUGAUGCAUCUCCGUUGGCCGCCUGCGUGGCUACAAAGCUGCGCUAGCCCAAUCGCUAUGCAGCCCCGCCGGCUAGUGGCGGUUGCUGUCUUAGCCCCCAGCGCUUGUCUGUGCCUCGCCCCUAAAUUUCCAAUGUCUGUCCUUGGCCAGUGACCACCACCCCCAGGCCGCAGCCAACCGAGGUGCCGAAGCUAGUCUACUAGGUGUUGUGCCCCUAGCUACUACCUUGCUUUGCGCCUCUGCGCGUGGUGGUGUCGUGGCCUGUGGUGAACUAAUGACUGCUUGACUUGUGAGCGGUGAGCUGAAAGCCUAAAACGUUAAAUGCUGAAUGAGUCAUGAGUGAAUGUUGAUUGAUUAUUUUCAUUUAGUUCUUUGCUCUAUGUUAAAUGCUAAUUGACCCGUUGUUCACGACUGCAAUUCAGAGCAUGGUGUACUGACUGGUGAGCAGUUGGGCAUAUGUGGAACGUGGUGGUGAGAAAUUUAGUUUUCCUUGGUAAUUCAUUUUAAUUCAAUUUCUUUUUUCAAUCUAUUUUAGUUUUUUUGUUAUCAAUUACAUGUUAUUUUUCUAGUAGAUGUUAUUCUUAUACUGUAUCUCACAUUUAUUGUAAAUGUCCAGUUUCACAAGCUAAUAUUAGUCAACAUAUGCGAUAAGGGGAUGAACUAAAUUGUCUUUAAUUAGGUACUGUGCAUCCUUUACUACUAAUCUGUACUCCCUCGGUACCAAAUUAUAAUUCGUUUGACUUUUUUGUGCCACGUUUGACCGGCUCGUCUUAUUCAAUUUUUUGCGAAAAAAUGAAAAAUUAAAAGCCACAUUUAAAGUAUAUUAUAUACUAAAGAAUAUCAUAGCAAACAUUAACAAUAAUUAUGAAUUUUUUAAUAAGACGAGUCGGUCAAACUUAGGGUUUAAAAGUCAAACGAAUUAUAAAUUGGAACAGAGGGAGUAUUAUAUUUUUAAUCGAUUUGCUGUAUAAUUAGAUGUUGAAUUGAAAUUUGUAUCUUUUCAUCUUUUUAUUUCAUGGUAUAUUAUAAUUUUCAACAGUACAUAUAAUUAUAUAGUUAUUUUGAUCUUAAAAGUGGCCCUAGGCACCUAAACUAUUUGUUUAGUUUCUGAAACCUAUCUGAGAAGCACUCCUCGAUGCAAUUUUCUAGUUGGUGUGUGGCACCAGCGAGGGCGAGGCAUCAGUAAAAAUCUAGUUAAAACAUCAAAUUCCAUGGUGGAUGAUAAUGCCUGAUUUGAGGUCCAGUACUCCAUGAUUUCCUGAUGUCAUCCGCUAUAUUCUGCAGAUAUAAUACAUGAGAAAAGAAUUUUACGUCGAUGCUUUCAUCUAAACCAUUGGCUAAAACAAUACAAAUGCUGCCACGACAGCUCAUGAUCAUCAAAGGUGCUUGCUCAACUAGAAUGUCCAAGGCCAUACAGGAUCCACAAUGUACGGGAUCUCAGUCCUACAUUGUGAAGGUUUAUAUAUUGGUAAGAAAAUAAUCAUUGUUUACUUUUCAGCAUAGUUGAAUGAUCAGAGAAUGUCUAAUGCUUGUAGCUUGUCAUUUUUUCACUGAUGAAAUUACAGAACAUAUUGAUUGUACGUGUAUAUGUAACUAGUCAAUCGUUCACUUGUCGCAAAAAACACUAGACUGAUCAAUGAUGAAGUUUCUACAUACAUGUAGCUUGUCAAUCUUUCAAAACACUGGAUCAGACUCUUUAAAAUAUUCUCAAAUCUUUCAUCAUUAUUUAAAGAACUCAAUUUACAUAAUUUUUCAUAUUGUGCCUUUGCAUAUUACCGAGCGACCAAAAAAUACAUUAGAAUCUGAAAUUACAGUCUGCUGAAAACAGAAUCAGUUAUAGCGUACUCCAAAAAAAGUGCAGUGUCAUAUAUUUUAUUUCUUGACACAUGAUUGUGAUGUCCUAAUUAUUUCACCCGGUUGAAUUCUAUUUAUUUUUAUUAUUGAUACAUGUUACUUGAGGAUUGUUUCAUUUACUGUUUCAUUUAAAUUCUUUAGCACUAUUGAUAUCUAAAAUGCCUUUUAAAUUGUUUUUUUGAAAUCCAACAUGUACUUAUUUCAAGACCUCCAUUCUCACAUGACUCAUUUUAUAUCAUUUCAGAAGCAAGAAAAAUAUAAGGAUGUUAAAGAGGUCGAUGGAAGAAAACAACAACCUCCUUCGUCAACGAUUAAGCUUCAAUUGAUGCCAAGUGCCUAGAUCUUAAGUCUAGUUGACCACUAUAGGAUCUACAGCCUUAUGGCUGCUAUAGUAGCUCUGGAUUUGGAGUUAUAGGAUUAUUUUGAAUUAUGCUUAAUGUUUAAUACUUUUAGUUGAAGUUAUAGGAUUUGCUUUGGAAUUUAAGUUAAAGGAUUUGAAGAUAAAUGUGUUGAUGGAUGAAAUAUUUGUGUUCAAGAAAUUCAUACGAUAUUUUGGUUGUGAUGUGUAAUAUUCCAUGAUAAUAUGAAUGCAUAUGAUGUGUUUCUUCA